Molecule: transfer RNA, 65 nt
Organism: Cavia porcellus (domestic guinea pig)
Lineage: Eukaryota; Metazoa; Chordata; Mammalia; Rodentia; Caviidae
Rfam family: tRNA
About the family: Transfer RNA (tRNA) molecules are approximately 80 nucleotides in length. Their secondary structure includes four short double-helical elements and three loops (D, anti-codon, and T loops). Further hydrogen bonds mediate the characteristic L-shaped molecular structure. tRNAs have two regions of fundamental functional importance: the anti-codon, which is responsible for specific mRNA codon recognition, and the 3' end, to which the tRNAs corresponding amino acid is attached (by aminoacyl-tRNA synthetases). tRNAs cope with the degeneracy of the genetic code in two manners: having more than one tRNA (with a specific anti-codon) for a particular amino acid; and 'wobble' base-pairing, i.e. permitting non-standard base-pairing at the 3rd anti-codon position.
Source: Rfam
GAUGUAGUUCAGUGGCAGAAUGCCUGCCUGGCAAGCACAAGGUCCUGAGUUCGAUUUUCAGAAUC